This 585-nucleotide ribosomal RNA is filed under the name uncultured bacterium. RNAcentral describes it as "partial 16S ribosomal RNA". It matches the Rfam family "Bacterial small subunit ribosomal RNA", at positions 355 to 1375 of the family's 1533-position model. The record is from RNAcentral.
UGGGGAAUUUUGGACAAUGGGCGAAAGCCUGAUCCAGCAAUGCCGCGUGUGUGAAGAAGGCCUUCGGGUUGUAAAGCACUUUUGUCCGGAAAGAAAUCCUUGGCUCUAAUACAGUCGGGGGAUGACGGUACCGGAAGAAUAAGCACCGGCUAACUACGUGCCAGCAGCCGCGGUAAUACGUAGGGUGCAAGCGUUAAUCGGAAUUACUGGGCGUAAAGCGUGCGCAGGCGGUUUGCUAAGACCGAUGUGAAAUCCCCGGGCUCAACCUGGGAACUGCAUUGGUGACUGGCAGGCUAGAGUAUGGCAGAGGGGGGUAGAAUUCCACGUGUAGCAGUGAAAUGCGUAGAGAUGUGGAGGAAUACCGAUGGCGAAGGCAGCCCCCUGGGCCAAUACUGACGCUCAUGCACGAAAGCGUGGGGAGCAAACAGGAUUAGAUACCCUGGUAGUCCACGCCCUAAACGACGUCAACUAGUUGUUGGGGAUUCAUUUCCUUAGUAACGUAGCUAACGCGUGAAGUUGACCGCCUGGGGAGUACGGUCGCAAGAUUAAAACUCAAAUGAAUUGACGGGGUCAUAGCUGUUUCCU